RNAcentral lists this ribosomal RNA (519 nucleotides) under uncultured bacterium. RNAcentral describes it as "bacterial SSU rRNA". It matches the Rfam family "Bacterial small subunit ribosomal RNA", at positions 8 to 526 of the family's 1533-position model. The record is from RNAcentral.
AGAGUUUGAUCAUGGCUCAGAACGAACGCUGGCGGCAUGCUUAACACAUGCAAGUCGAACGUCCCUGGGGUUUACGGACCCUGGGGGAGUGGCGGACGGGUGCGUAACACAUGGGUGACCUGGCCCCAGGUGAGGGAUACCGGCGAGAAAUCGCCGACAAGCCCGCAUGAGCUCUGGCUUCUCAAGGAGCCAGCGCAAAGCUGUGCUUUCUGCAAGGGAAGCGUGGCGCCCGGGGAUGGGCCUGUGGCCGAUUAGCUGGUUGGUGGGGUAAGGGCUCACCAAGGCGACGAUCGGUAGCUGGUCUGAGAGGACGAUCAGCCACACUGGGAUUGAGAACGGCCCAGACUCCUACGGGGGGCAGCAGUGAGGAAUUUUCCGCAAUGGAGGCAACUCUGACGGAGCAACGCCGCGUGCAGGAGGACGCGUUUCGACGUGUAAACUGCUUUUGGGUGGGACGAGCAAGGACGGUACCACCCGAAGAAGCCCCGGCUAACUACGUGCCAGCCGCCGCGGUAAUAC